Molecule: ribosomal RNA, 496 nt
Filed under: uncultured bacterium
Lineage: Bacteria
Description: partial 16S ribosomal RNA
Rfam family: Bacterial small subunit ribosomal RNA
Source: RNAcentral
AUGAACGCUGGCGGCGUGCCUAAUACAUGCAAGUCGAGCGAACAGACGAGGAGCUUGCUCCUUCGACGUUAGCGGCGGACGGGUGAGUAACACGUAGGUAACCUACCUAUAAGACUGGGAUAACUUCGGGAAACCGGAGCUAAUACCGGAUAAUAUUUCGAACCGCAUGGUUCGAUAGUUAAAGAUGGCUUUGCUAUCACUUAUAGAUGGACCUGCGCCGUAUUAGCUAGUUGGUAAGGUAACGGCUUACCAAGGCAACGAUACGUAGCCGACCUGAGAGGGUGAUCGGCCACACUGGAACUGAGACACGGUCCAGACUCCUACGGGAGGCAGCAGUAGGGAAUCUUCCGCAAUGGGCGAAAGCCUGACGGAGCAACGCCGCGUGAGUGAUGAAGGUCUUCGGAUCGUAAAACUCUGUUAUUAGGGAAGAACAAACGUGUAAGUAACUGUGCACGUCUUGACGGUACCUAAUCAGAAAGCCACGGCUAACUACGUG